GACGAACGCUGGCGGCGUGCUUAACACAUGCAAGUCAGGGGGCUCCGCGAGGGGUCACCGGCGAACGGGUGCGUAACACGUGAGCGACCUGCCCUGGAGUGGGGGAUAGCCGGCCCAACGGCCGGGUAAUACCGCAUACGGCCUUCGAGCGGCAUCGCUUGGGGGCGGAAACCCGACGAGGGACGUCCUGGAGGGGCUCGCGGCCUAUCAGCUAGUUGGCGAGGUAACGGCUCACCAAGGCGAUGACGGGGAGCUGGUC
RNAcentral lists this ribosomal RNA (259 nucleotides) under uncultured bacterium. Its description in RNAcentral is "partial 16S ribosomal RNA". It matches the Rfam family "Bacterial small subunit ribosomal RNA", at positions 28 to 292 of the family's 1533-position model. The record is from RNAcentral.